UGCAAGUCGAACGCGAAAGUUCCCUUCGGGGGGCGAGUAGAGUGGCGUCCGGGUGAGUAACACGUAGGUAAUCUACCUUUGGGUGGGGAAUAACAAUCGGAAACGGUUGCUAAUACCGCAUAAUGCAGCGGCACCGCAUGGUGACAGUUGUUAAAGCGGGGGAUCGCAAGACCUCGCGCCUAGAGAGGAGCCUGUGGCGGAUUAGCUAGUUGGCAGGGUAACGGCCUACCAAGGCAACGAUCCGUAGCCGGCCUGAGAGGGCGGUCGGCCACACUGACACUGAAAUACGGGUCAGACUCCUACGGGAGGCAGCAGUCGGGAAUUUUGGGCAAUGGGCGCAAGCCUGACCCAGCAACGCCGCGUGAAGGAUGAAAUCCCUCGGGAUGUAAACUUCGCAAGAAUGGGAAGAAUAAGUAGGGGCUAAUACUCUCUAUGAUGACGGUACCAUUUGUAAGCUCCGGCUAACUCCGUGCCAGCAGCCGCGGUAAUACGGGGGGAGCAAGCGUUGUUCGGAUUUACUGGGCGCAAAGGGCGCGUAGGCGGUCAGUGCAAGUCAGUUGUGAAAUCUCCGAGCUUAACUCGGAAAGGUCAACUGAUACUGCUCGACUAGAGUGCGGAAGGGGCAACUGGAAUUCUUGGUGUAGCGGUGAAAUGCGUAGAUAUCAAGAGGAACACCUGCGGCGAAAGCGGGUUGCUGGGCCGACACUGACGCUGAAGCGCGAAAGCUAGGGGAGCGAACGGGAUUAGAUACCCCGGUAGUCCUAGCCUUAAACGAUGAAUGCUUGGUGUCUGGGGUUAUAAAGUCCCCGGGUGCCGUCGCUAACGCUUUAAGCAUUCCGCCUGGGGGAGUACGGUCGCAAGACUGAAACUCAAAGGAAUUGACGGGGACCCGCACAAGCGGUGGAGCAUGUGGUUAUU
RNAcentral lists this ribosomal RNA (918 nucleotides) under uncultured Acidobacteriaceae bacterium. RNAcentral describes it as "bacterial SSU rRNA". It matches the Rfam family "Bacterial small subunit ribosomal RNA", at positions 56 to 949 of the family's 1533-position model. The record is from RNAcentral. Lineage: Bacteria; Pseudomonadati; Acidobacteriota; Terriglobia; Terriglobales; Acidobacteriaceae.